CCUCCAGUUAGGACUUUGGGUCCCUAGGAGCUGACUGAGCUGAUUUAGGGGUGCUCCCCAAGAAGAUCAGGACUGCUGAAAGAAUGAAGAAGAACUUACUUGGCCUAGGAUGUGGCUAGAGAACGGAGCGCACUUUCACUUACCUGGCAAGGUGGUUUUGGAAGUUUCCACGGAAGCCUUCCCAGGGCCGCUGCUGCCCGUCCUCGCCUAGAAGAAUUCCAUUCUCCCAUCCCAGGAAGGAGAGUGCCCUGCGUGCCACGAAAGAGCCCAGGACCCACAGGACAAAUACGUCACUGGCAGACCUGCCUUCGCCAGCGCCAGCCCAUCUCUGAAACCUCCAGCAUUUGUGCCCCGGUCCGGCCCCUCCCAGGCCUGACUCUUUCCGUGAACGGUCACUGCGCAGGAUCAAGCUACAAUGAAGAGGAGGGAGGCAGUCUGCGCGCACCGCCAUUUUCUAGGAACUGGGAAGCCCCCCCACCCCUUAGGAAGAUCCAUCCCUGUGGAACCUUGCCCAGGCUUACCAGCCUUUGCUGAGGUUGAUCUAUUGUCCCUCCUUGUCCCCAUCAAAAUAUCCAGCACUCCACCUUCAGGGAGUAGACUUGACCCUCAAAUAGCAAGUUCAGCCUUCCCAGGUCUAGGUUCCCUGGGAGGUCAAGAUUCGUCUGGUUCCUUAGUACAGAGGGCUAGCUGUGAGUUGGAAUCCCCCUAUGAGCUUUAGAAUCAGUCAAGAGGAAUUGGGCCCCUUCCCUUCAUCCCUCUUCUUUUCCCUUUUUGUCCCAGAGCUCAGCUCUGACUCAAAAGUUUUUCCAUUUACCAUCAACAUGGAAACUUGGCUCCUCACGUAGGUAUAUUAUCCCCCUUUUGUACAUGGUCUUGUUGAUCCAAACUCCCUUUCUGUGAAAGAGGCCUGUGGGGCUCAAGAAGCCUGGUCAGCCAGCCAGGCUAGUCCCACAUACCUCAGAACCAGUUUAAUAAAGGCUCUAUGUCAUUCUUUUUUG
Molecule: long non-coding RNA, 998 nt
Filed under: Homo sapiens (human)
Lineage: Eukaryota; Metazoa; Chordata; Mammalia; Primates; Hominidae
Description: testis development related 1
Source: RNAcentral